Molecule: long non-coding RNA, 1440 nt
Organism: Bombus pyrosoma
Lineage: Eukaryota; Metazoa; Arthropoda; Insecta; Hymenoptera; Apidae
Exons: 2
Source: RefSeq, a predicted model, not a curated record
CGUUCAUGUAUUAAAUAAAAUAGUUUUAUACGCUACACGGCCUAACAUGAAUCCCCCUAAUCGUGACACUACAGAGCUAUGGGGAUUCCUAUGGGGAUUUUUCCUCUUUUAUUCUUGACAACGUCAGAUGUCAAGAAAAUCUAUCUUUAUUUGAGUUAAUACGAUUUGAAAAUUUUCAAGAAAGGAAAGUGAGUAUUCGUUAAUUAUUUCGAACUGCAUAUUUUUAGUAUGUAUUUAUUUGUUAUGAUAUUUUAUUUAUUAUUGCGUGAUAAAUAAGAAGAAACCAUUCCUACUAAUUUAGUAUUGCAGUUACGUAUAGAUAAUCUUCAAAAUGAUAAUGGGAUAACAAUUUUGAUGCGAAGCUUUUUUACUUCAUUUUUUAUAUAUCCUUUUAUAUCAAUUUUUAUUUCACGCAUGAUAUCAAAAAGAAUUAUUUAUCGCAGUAUAUAAGUCUGCUGAAAUUUCAUAGGGCAAUUGAAAUAAAGAUACUAGUCUUAUGCCAACAAUAUUUAUUUUUUAUGCAAACAUUUACUUUCAUUAAAAAAUUAUCUUCGCGCGAAACAACUCGUUACAUUUUAAACUGUACCAUUUCUGAUCUCAUAAAAAAAUAGCUCCCAUUUAUCUUGAUCCCUCUCCAGUCAAAGACUGGAUAAGAAAGCAGCUAUUCUGUAUUUUUAAAUCGCUCGGUAUACUUACACGUAAAUAUAUUUAAACAUUCUUUCAAGGAUUCAUUAGCAUAAGUAAAAUACGGUUGAUCAUUACAAACGAAUACACGUAUAAAAUUUCUGUUACAUGCAUGUAUUCUUACUAAGAAGAGAUUUUCCUGAUUUCAAGGAUAAGGAAGGGAAUACAGAAGAAACAUUCCAAAAGGGUAUUGUUGACUCGUAUCUUUUCAUUUAAGCAGAAAUUCAAAGAAAAGAUGUUUUCGUUCUCUUUCAAAAUGUCUUACUGUCGAAUAUUAUGGAUGAUGUACAACCUGUAAUAUAGUCUCACUAAUGCUGCUAUUUCAUAGGACUGCUAUACGUAACUAUAGUAUAGUUUAAUUUAUGCGUUCAUCUUCGAGAAAGCAUACCUCUAAACGUUAUAACAAUCGGCUUCGUUACAGGUGACUCUCUUAAAUAUAUAAUGUACAUAGUUAUAGAAGAACAUAUAACAUAUAUGUAUAUCAUCUAUAUAACUCUACGAUAGUCAACAUUUUAUUGCAUCGCGAUGGUUUACAAUUUCUCGUACACGAAUGUCGUCGUUGAAUCCGAAAGAGUGUCGCGGACGGAAAUCUUACGUUCUUUUACUAUAUAUUUAUGUUAUCACUGCUAUUUUACUGAUUAAGUUAUAUACGUAUAGUGUACCUAAGUACAUAGCUAUACUGUGUACAAAUAUAAUUACGGCAAUAUACAGACACCAUCUAAAAGUUUGAGAUCACGUAUCAUCAUAAAAUUAUAC